GAUCAUGCUCAGAUUGAACGCUGGCGGCAGGCCUAACACAUGCAAGUCGAACGGUAACAGAAAGCAGCUUGCUGCUUUGCUGACGAGUGGCGGACGGGUGAGUAAUGUCUGGGAAACUGCCUGAUGGAGGGGGAUAACUACUGGAAACGGUAGCUAAUACCGCAUAACGUCGCAAGACCAAAGAGGGGGACCUUAGGGCCUCUUGCCAUCGGAUGUGCCCAGAUGGGAUUAG
This 232-nucleotide ribosomal RNA is filed under the name uncultured bacterium. RNAcentral describes it as "partial 16S ribosomal RNA". It matches the Rfam family "Bacterial small subunit ribosomal RNA", at positions 15 to 244 of the family's 1533-position model. The record is from RNAcentral.